GUCGACCUUGGGCUGGAACCAGGCUUCGAACUCGUCGCGUUCGAAGCCUUCGGCUAUUUCCGCCAGGGACGGCAGUUCGACUACCUCGGGUGAUGC
This 96-nucleotide transfer RNA is filed under the name Pseudomonas sp. Pc102. RNAcentral's name for it is "tRNA-Asp". Lineage: Bacteria; Pseudomonadati; Pseudomonadota; Gammaproteobacteria; Pseudomonadales; Pseudomonadaceae. The record is from RNAcentral.